This is a long non-coding RNA of Pomacea canaliculata, 1396 nucleotides long. RefSeq lists it as uncharacterized. The record is from RefSeq and is a predicted model, not a curated record. The transcript is spliced from 4 exons. Lineage: Eukaryota; Metazoa; Mollusca; Gastropoda; Architaenioglossa; Ampullariidae.
UUAUCUGGAGUGUGUUUUGGAAGAUAAGGAUCUGAGCGACUGUACAUGUACACGCAAGGCGAGGAAAAGGAAUCGGGUGGUGAGACAAACAGUGCCGAGAAGUGUCCGCCAUGAGCGCAACAACUUUGCUGUUGUUGAUGUUGGCUUUCCCUGCCAUGUGGGCUGCUCCAGCUACUGAAACACUGUGCGUGACAAGAGGAGGAGAGUGCGACCCAACGAUACCCCAUGAUGCUCUGUUCACCUGGGGCCGUGGGCAGUGUUGCCAUAGCUACGAGUGGUGUAUGGGGUGGAUUCUAGAGGAUGGUACACAGGUACACAGGUGUACAUUGCCAUUGUGAAACAAAAGAAGAAUGAGAAUUACAAAAACCAGAAAGUGUCAUAAUUCUUCUUCAACUGUUGACAUUAUUUGUAUUCCGAAAAUCUGAUCAUUACGAUUUACUAUAAUUUAAAAAAAACGGUUGUGUGACUAAUCAUCAACAGUAUUUUUUAUACAUAUUAUAUCAGAAAUGAUUUCGAAAUAAAGGAAAAAAGUGUCAACCUUGAAUUAAUCUCCUGUCAUUGGCGGCUUCUAUGAACUAAUUAAUUUAUUUUCUUACUAGCUUACAUACCCUAAACCCUCGUCUCUGUAAUAGGAGAGGAGUAGAAUUCUACACUAUCAUAAAAAUGAGGAAUGAAUAAAGCAACAAAGGGUAACAUCAUUUCUAAAAGGUGUAUCCUACUUUUUCCUAAUCCCAGAUUACAGAACAGCUCGGGAGGCGUGUGUGUGUGGAGGGGGAACGGUUCCCACUGCCAAACCUUUGACUUUUUUCACUUUGACCUUUCUCUUAAAUGGAUGUCACGCACCACAUGGUGAUUCCCAGGACUACAGUCUGUUGUCUUUCUCUAGACAUGAGUCAAGGUCAAAAGUUGCAUACAAACACAUUGUUGUUAGUCACUCCUCCCUAGAGAGGUAAUCUUGACUUCAGACCUCAAGCUUUGUGGAAGCUGUGGACACCGUCAUCCUAAAAGAGAACAGAGAUCGCUGACCGCCAUGAUUUCUCUACCUUUGCUGCUUGUCCUUUGUGUCUUAACCGGCGAAGUCACAUCUUUGCUCGACUCAACGUGUGUUGGUUUGGGCCAGAAGUGUGACCCCGAGGCGACCUCAGGUCAAGAGGGUCACUGUUGCUUUGGGUGGUGCAGGUCUUUACACCUGUCUGACGGAAGUGUAGACCAUGUAUGUCGAACGAUACUUCCGAACCUCCCUUGAGAAGCAUUAGCAUCCGGUGACCUCACGAGCCUUACACAGUUUCUGAAGACUUGCAACGAUUUCGAAAUCAGUGUUUAUACCGGCGUUAACAUACUUCUUUUGAAAGCUGUUUUACAGUAAGAUUGCCGAAUAAAACAAUAUUUUAGGCUC